UGCGCAACGCAUGGCGCAGGACGAUGGUGCGGAACUUGACCCCCUUCAGCCGCGCUGUGCGGAUGUACUGCGCGGUCAUCACCUCGGCCAUGCUGGCCCGCGUCAUCCGCGCGAUAUAACCCAUGCCGUAAAGGGCGAUGGUCACAACGGGCAGGGUGAAAUUCUCGAAUGUCACGCCG
Molecule: non-coding RNA, 179 nt
Filed under: Rhodovulum sp. P5
Lineage: Bacteria; Pseudomonadati; Pseudomonadota; Alphaproteobacteria; Rhodobacterales; Paracoccaceae
Description: Ruegeria cis52 sRNA
Rfam family: Ruegeria cis52 sRNA
About the family: Cis-encoded. Targets oligo/dipeptide ABC transporter.
Source: Rfam by way of RNAcentral